AAAAAUUAUACGAUACAAACUCUAAUUUCAACAUAAAAGAAGAAGUCAUACUCAAGAUGAAUGUGGAAUACAAGGAAACGGAAAUUAGUAUCUUUCUGAUAUUAGAUCACCUUGAAAAAUACUUGAAGAAUUAGAUUCUUCCUCUGCCAAGGGAUUGAUUAUUUCAACGGAUCGAAUAGUAUGCCUGUCCUCUGUGCAGGUUACGUUGUCCAUUGCCUCCUCCUGGGGUAGUGGCUGCGUUGACCGGCGGGUGCGGCGCACGUACUUACUUCUUAGAGGGACAAGCGACUGUAUUCGAACAAAAUUGAGGAAUAACUGGUCUGUGAUGCCCUUAGAUGUCCGGGGCCGCACGUGCGCUACAAUGACGGUUUCAGCGAGUUUGGAAUCCUGGCCUGAUCAGGUUGGGUAAACUGAAUCAUAACCGUCAUGACUGUUAUCGGGGCUUGCAAUUGUUCCCCGUGAACGAAGAAUUCCUGGUAAGGGUAAGUCAUAAGCUUGUGCUGAUUACGUCUGUGCCCUUUUUACACACCAUCCGUCGUUACUACCGAUUGAAUGGUUUAGCAAGGUCCUCGGAUUGGUGCCAUUGUAGUGGCUUCGGCCGCUCGACCGGCGCUGAGAAGACGACCAAACUUGUUCAUUUAGAGGAAGUAAAAGUCGUAACAAGGUUUCCGUAGGUGAACCUGCGGAGGGAUCAUUGCCGAAAUCCUAAUCUGGCAUUUUUGGAAACGAAAAUUCUGCAGUUCUACGAGUUACCUGUUGACUCAUAUAGAUUGCGGUUGAUUGAUGCUUUAUCAAACAAUAAAUUCACGGGCCUCAAAGCUCGCACAGUCGUUCACCAAAUCACGGGUAUCAUACCUGAGUCGCUCGACUCGUUCCACUCAAUAACGGAACGCUUCUACAAUUUGACUAAACCUAUUGAGGAGAGUAACCUAGUGACAGACCGUGUGGCCCACCACAUAGUUACUUAUGGACCAACAGUCACAGUCCAGUCCAGUUCAGUCCAGUCUUCACAGGACGAAUGAUGGUCCUUGCCAAUCGAGCGUCCAGAUUAUUGUGUUGUCGGCGGGUGUUCUUGGCUCCCAACACUGCGUUUUCUGAGUUUCUUUUAGCCA
Molecule: non-coding RNA, 1112 nt
Filed under: Echinostoma caproni
Lineage: Eukaryota; Metazoa; Platyhelminthes; Trematoda; Plagiorchiida; Echinostomatidae
Description: Eukaryotic small subunit ribosomal RNA
Rfam family: Eukaryotic small subunit ribosomal RNA (bases 1-697)
Source: Rfam by way of RNAcentral